GAUCCUGGCUCAGGAUGAACGCUAGCUACAGGCUUAACACAUGCAAGUCGAGGGGAAACGACAUUGGAAGCUUGCUUCCGAUGGGCGUCGACCGGCGCACGGGCGAGUAACGCGUAUCCAACCUGCCCACCACUUGGAGAUAACCUUGCGAAAGUAAGACUAAUACCCAAUGACGUCUCUAGAAGACAUCUGAAAGAGAUUAAAGAUUUAUCGGUGAUGGAUGGGGAUGCGUCUGAUUAGCUUGUUGGCGGGGUAACGGCCCACCAAGGCAACGAUCAGUAGGGGUUCUGAGAGGAAGGUCCCCCACAUUGGAACUGAGACACGGUCCAAACUCCUACGGGAGGCAGCAGUGAGGAAUAUUGGUCAAUGGGCGAGAGCCUGAACCAGCCAAGUAGCGUGCAGGACGACGGCCCUAUGGGUUGUAAACUGCUUUAUAAGGGAAUAAAGUGAGUCUCGUGAGACUUUUGCAUGUACCUUAUGAAUAAGGACCGGCUAAUUCCGUG
RNAcentral lists this ribosomal RNA (503 nucleotides) under uncultured bacterium. RNAcentral describes it as "bacterial SSU rRNA". It matches the Rfam family "Bacterial small subunit ribosomal RNA", at positions 15 to 507 of the family's 1533-position model. The record is from RNAcentral.